AGAGUUUGAUCCUGGCUCAGAACGAACGCUGGCGGCAGGCCUAACACAUGCAAGUCGAGCGAAACCUUCGGGUUUAGCGGCGGACGGGUGAGUAACGCGUGGGAACGUGCCCUUCUCUGCGGAAUAGCCACUGGAAACGGUGAGUAAUACCGCAUACGCCCUUCGGGGGAAAGAUUUAUCGGAGAAGGAUCGGCCCGCGUCUGAUUAGGUAGUUGGUGGGGUAAUGGCCUACCAAGCCUACGAUCAGUAGCUGGUUUUAGAGGAUGAUCAGCCACACUGGGACUGAGACACGGCCCAGACUCCUACGGGAGGCAGCAGUGGGGAAUCUUAGACAAUGGGCGCAAGCCUGAUCUAGCCAUGCCGCGUGAGUGAUGGAGGCCCUAGGGUCGUAAAGCUCUUUCGCCAGGGAUGAUAAUGACAGUACCUGGUAAAGAAACCCCGGCUAACUCCGUGCCAGCAGCCGCGGUAAUACGGAGGGGGUUAGCGUUGUUCGGAAUUACUGGGCGUAAAGCGCGCGUAGGCGGACCAGAAAGUUGGGGGUGAAAUCCCGGGGCUCAACCCCGGAACGGCCUCCAAAACUCCUGGUCUUGAGUUCGAGAGAGGUGAGUGGAAUUCCGAGUGUAGAGGUGAAAUUCGUAGAUAUUCGGAGGAACACCAGUGGCGAAGGCGGCUCACUGGCUCGAUACUGACGCUGAGGUGCGAAAGUGUGGGGAGCAAACAGGAUUAGAUACCCUGGUAGUCCACACCGUAAACGAUGAAUGCCAGUCGUCGGGUAGCAUGCUGCUCGGUGACACACCUAACGGAUUAAGCAUUCCGCCUGGGGAGUACGGUCGCAGAUUAAAACUCAAAGGAAUUGACGG
RNAcentral lists this ribosomal RNA (860 nucleotides) under uncultured marine bacterium. RNAcentral's name for it is "bacterial SSU rRNA". It matches the Rfam family "Bacterial small subunit ribosomal RNA", at positions 8 to 916 of the family's 1533-position model. The record is from RNAcentral.